GAAUUGUAUGUGAGAGUUGGAGGGAAUUAAACCAAAGUAAUGAAGUAUCGCAUUGACAUUAUAAUUAUGCCUCUAUAUUUUGGUUUAAUUUCCUCCAAUAUCUCACCUCCAAUUC
This 115-nucleotide microRNA precursor is filed under the name Corchorus olitorius. Its description in RNAcentral is "MIR2275 microRNA precursor family". It matches the Rfam family "MIR2275 microRNA precursor family". The record is from Rfam by way of RNAcentral. Lineage: Eukaryota; Viridiplantae; Streptophyta; Magnoliopsida; Malvales; Malvaceae.